Suricata suricatta (meerkat) is the source of this 599-nucleotide long non-coding RNA. RefSeq lists it as uncharacterized. The record is from RefSeq and is a predicted model, not a curated record. NCBI's taxonomy places the organism in Eukaryota, Metazoa, Chordata, Mammalia, Carnivora, Herpestidae. The transcript has 3 exons.
GAACGUUUUCAGUUUAUGGGAUUGACAGACACAGUAUCCACAGGGAGGCUCGCUCCCAGAGGACCUCUUGUGAGAACACGGCCUUCAGAUUCACGGGGACACAAAGAACCUGCUGGACUUGAACGUGGUCGCCCAGACGUAAGACACCCGUCUGCACAGGCCAGCAGCACGCCCCUUCAGGAGCACUUCCAGUACGGUCUAGCGGCGGCCCGGCCAUUCCUCCACACGGUGAACGUGUGAGGGACCCAGUCAAAGGAUCCGUGACAACGACCACGUGGAGGAAACAGGGAUGUGAAGAACGGCAGGGAGAUGUCGGGAGGGCCAACCACCGGGUGAGCUCCUGCUUCUGGAGAGAGAGCCCCCGCCCCUCGAGUGGCACCUUGUGGAAGGAGGUGCAGAUCAUCCGCCAUCAUGGUGGACUGGGGACCACAAGGUUUCUUGUGCCGAUGGAGAUGCUUCCCAGCGCUGAGCCUGAAGGCCUUCGACCCCCUGGAGCCCAGGAAGUCGCAGCCGUUGGGGAGAGGCUGGCCCGCGGCGGAAAGCCCUCGGACCCCGAAACGAGAAGCCAAACGCCACCGCCGCGCACCUGGUCAGCGCGU